AUUGAACGCUGGCGGCAGGCCUAACACAUGCAAGUCGAACGGAGUGGCGGACGGGUGAGUAAUGUCUGGGAAACUGCCUGAUGGAGGGGGAUAACGUCUGGAAACGGGCGCUAAUACCGCAUACUAUCAGAUGAGCCUAGGUCGGAUUAGCUGGUUGGUGGGGUAACGGCUUACCAAGGCGACGAUCCGUAACUUGUCUGAGAGGAUGAUCAGGCAAACGGGAACAGAGAAACGGUCCAGACUCCUAGGGGAGGGAGCAGGGGGGAAUAUGGGAAAAUGGGGGAAAGCCUGAUGCAGCCAUGCCGCGUGUGUGAAGAAGGUCUUCGGGUUGUAAAGCACUUUAAGUGGGGAGGCGUUACCAGCAGAAUAAGCACCGGCUAACUUCGUGCCAGCAGCCGCGGUAAUAC
RNAcentral lists this ribosomal RNA (407 nucleotides) under uncultured bacterium. RNAcentral's name for it is "partial 16S ribosomal RNA". It matches the Rfam family "Bacterial small subunit ribosomal RNA", at positions 29 to 526 of the family's 1533-position model. The record is from RNAcentral.